AGCCGACCAGUCAUGUUUGCAUCAUUUGCAUCAUAGCAUUUUUAUUUCAAAAAAAAUAAUGCAAUAAAAAAAAGGAAAGAAAAGAAAAAAACUAAUCUCUGCAUGCAUAUCAUUUCUCAGGUUCAUUCAGGAGUCUAUUCACUGUGAGAGAUGGCAUCCGUUCCAGAGUUGAAGAGGAAGACUUGCACCUACAGUUUUCACC
RNAcentral lists this long non-coding RNA (202 nucleotides) under Lathyrus oleraceus (garden pea). RNAcentral describes it as "Pisum sativum (pea) long non-coding RNA (PSAT_LNC013463)". Lineage: Eukaryota; Viridiplantae; Streptophyta; Magnoliopsida; Fabales; Fabaceae. The record is from RNAcentral.